RNAcentral lists this ribosomal RNA (315 nucleotides) under Clostridioides difficile. RNAcentral describes it as "bacterial SSU rRNA". It matches the Rfam family "Bacterial small subunit ribosomal RNA", at positions 167 to 500 of the family's 1533-position model. Lineage: Bacteria; Bacillati; Bacillota; Clostridia; Peptostreptococcales; Peptostreptococcaceae. The record is from RNAcentral.
UACGGGAUAAUAUAUUUGAGAGGCAUCUCUUGAAUAUCAAAGGUGAGCCAGUACAGGAUGGACCCGCGUCUGAUUAGCUAGUUGGUAAGGUAACGGCUUACCAAGGCGACGAUCAGUAGCCGACCUGAGAGGGUGAUCGGCCACAUUGGAACUGAGACACGGUCCAAACUCCUACGGGCGGCAGCAGUGGGGAAUAUUGCACAAUGGGCGAAAGCCUGAUGCAGCAACGCCGCGUGAGUGAUGAAGGCCUUCGGGUCGUAAAACUCUGUCCUCAAGGCAGAUGAUGACGGUGCUUGAGGAGAAAGCCCCGGCUAA